UCUGAAAGAAUUUGGAUAAAAUAUAUCCUUUGUGGGGUGGAUACCAAGGGAGGAAUAAAAAGAUUGAAGCAACACUGGGUUGGUGGCUAUGGAGAUGUAGCCAAGUGCACAAAGACAACUGUAGCAAUUGCUACAGAGAUGAGAGAAGCAAUCUUGAAAAACAAGAAGAGGAGGAUGGAAAAUUUGGAUGAUUUGGAUGUUGGUAGUGAAGAUUUACCUA
Telopea speciosissima is the source of this 220-nucleotide long non-coding RNA. RefSeq lists it as uncharacterized. NCBI's taxonomy places the organism in Eukaryota, Viridiplantae, Streptophyta, Magnoliopsida, Proteales, Proteaceae. The transcript has 3 exons. The record is from RefSeq and is a predicted model, not a curated record.